UACAUCGGAACAUGUCCUGUAGUGGGGGAUAGCCCGGCGAAAGCCGGAUUAAUACCGCAUACGAUCUGAGGAUGAAAGCGGGGGACCUUCGGGCCUCGCGCUAUAGGGUUGGCCGAUGGCUGAUUAGCUAGUUGGUGGGGUAAAGGCCUACCAAGGCGACGAUCAGUAGCUGGUCUGAGAGGACGACCAGCCACACUGGGACUGAGACACGGCCCAGACUCCUACGGGAGGCAGCAGUGGGGAAUUUUGGACAAUGGGCGAAAGCCUGAUCCAGCAAUGCCGCGUGUGUGAAGAAGGCCUUCGGGUUGUAAAGCACUUUUGUCCGGAAAGAAAUCCUUGGUUCUAAUAUAGCCGGGGGAUGACGGUACCGGAAGAAUAAGCACCGGCUAACUACGUGCCAGCAGCCGCGGUAAUACGUAGGGUGCAAGCGUUAAUCGGAAUUACUGGGCGUAAAGCGUGCGCANGCGGUUUGCUAAGACCGAUGUGAAAUCCCCGGGCUCAACCUGGGAACUGCAUUGGUGACUGNCANGCUAGAGUAUGGCAGANGGGGGGUAGAAUUCCACGUGUAGCAGUGAAAUGCGUAGAGAUGUGGA
RNAcentral lists this ribosomal RNA (593 nucleotides) under uncultured Burkholderia sp. RNAcentral's name for it is "bacterial SSU rRNA". It matches the Rfam family "Bacterial small subunit ribosomal RNA", at positions 114 to 702 of the family's 1533-position model. Lineage: Bacteria; Pseudomonadati; Pseudomonadota; Betaproteobacteria; Burkholderiales; Burkholderiaceae. The record is from RNAcentral.